UUCCUUCCAGUCAGCAUUAGGGAUUUAAACCCUAAACUGAACUUUUCCUUUCAGUCAGCAUUAGGGUUUUAAACCCUAGACUGAACAUUUUCCUUUAGUCAGCAUUAGGGUUUUAAACCCUAAACUGAACUUUUUCCUUUAAUCAGCCUUAGGGUUUUUAAACCCUAAACUGAACUUUUUCCAUUCAGCCAGCAUUAGGGUUUUAAACCCUAAACUGAGCUUUUCCAUGCAAUCAGCAUUAGGGUUUUAAACCCUAAACUGAAUUUUUCCUUUAGUCAACAUUAGGGUUUUAAACCCUAAACUGAACUUUUCCUUUUAGCCAGCAUUAGAGUUUUAAAACCUUAAACUGAGCUUUUCCAUGCAAUCAGCAUUAGGGUUUUAAACCCUAAACUGAAUUUUCCUUUAGUCAGCAUUAGGGUUUUAAACCCUAAACUGAACUUUUUUCCAUUCAGCCAGCAUUAGGGUUUUAAACCCUAAACUGAGCUUUUCCAUGCAAUCAGCAUUAGGGUUUUAAACCCUAAAUUGAACUUUUUCCUUUAAUCAGCCUUAGGGUUUUAAACCCUAAACUGAACUUUUUCCAUGCAUGUUAGCAUUAGAGUUUUAAACCAUAAACUGAAUUC
Molecule: long non-coding RNA, 620 nt
Filed under: Nicotiana tabacum (common tobacco)
Lineage: Eukaryota; Viridiplantae; Streptophyta; Magnoliopsida; Solanales; Solanaceae
Description: long non-coding RNA (NTAB_LNC005078)
Source: RNAcentral